UCCUCGUUAGUACAGUGGACAGUACCUCCGCCUGUCACAUGGAAAACCAGGGGUUUCGAUUCCUCUGCUGAGAGU
Molecule: transfer RNA, 75 nt
Filed under: Danionella cerebrum
Lineage: Eukaryota; Metazoa; Chordata; Actinopteri; Cypriniformes; Danionidae
Description: tRNA-Asp
Source: RNAcentral